AACGAACGCUGGCGGCAGGCUUAACACAUGCAAGUCGAGCGAGACCUUCGGGUCUAGCGGCGGACGGGUGAGUAACGCGUGGGAACGUGCCCUUCUCUACGGAAUAGCCCCGGGAAACUGGGAGUAAUACCGUAUACGCCCUUUGGGGGGAAAGAUUUAUCGGAGAAGGAUCGGCCCGCGUUGGAUUAGGUAGUUGGUGGGGUAAUGGCCCACCAAGCCGACGAUCCAUAGCUGGUUUGAGAGGAUGAUCAGCCACACUGGGACUGAGACACGGCCCAGACUCCUACGGGAGGCAGCAGUGGGGAAUUCUUAGACAAUGGGGGCAAA
This 327-nucleotide ribosomal RNA is filed under the name Paracoccus marcusii. RNAcentral's name for it is "bacterial SSU rRNA". It matches the Rfam family "Bacterial small subunit ribosomal RNA", at positions 29 to 381 of the family's 1533-position model. The record is from RNAcentral. Lineage: Bacteria; Pseudomonadati; Pseudomonadota; Alphaproteobacteria; Rhodobacterales; Paracoccaceae.